RNAcentral lists this unclassified non-coding RNA (25 nucleotides) under Mus musculus (house mouse). RNAcentral's name for it is "oocyte_clustered_small_RNA10887". The record is from RNAcentral. Lineage: Eukaryota; Metazoa; Chordata; Mammalia; Rodentia; Muridae.
UGUCUGUUCACCCUGUGCGUGCCCA